CAGCCAGACCACCUUAAGGGGAGCGGCGGCGGGCGCGGGCUGCGAGCGCGGCGGGGCCGUCCCGGGGGGUUGUCGCGCUCCCGGGACGGGGCGUUUGUUUGUUAAUUGCGGCGCUGCUGCGCCUGGCGCUCGCGCGGCGCUCCCGCUGCGGCCCUAAUGACUGGAACCGCGGGAGCGCGGCGGGGCCCGUCUGCCGGCGGCGGGAAUCGUGUGAUUCGCGGGGAGUCACACGGAGAGAAGCGGGGCCGGGGGGGCAGCCAGCCCGCCCCGGGGGGCGGUGCGGGGCGCUGGAGGAGGAAAUGGAACGCGUGAGGCCAAACAAGGAACAAUCCCCGGGUUGUUGGCUGAGCCAACAGGCUGCUGUCGCCGGCUCUGUCGCCGUCGAGAAGAAGAGAUGCAGCACAAAGAUACUGUGUGUCUUGAAGCUGUUCAGUAAUGACAGAAUUGGUAUAUAAAACAGCACAGCUGUGGGGAGGCUGCUUUGCUUUAUGUGACUGAAAAGCAGCCUGGUUAGCUCAACACUGUGGAAUCAGGGCCCAUUGUGUGUUCCUCAUACUUGGGAGACUUCCCUGAAGUCCCUAGAAGUCCUGUGAUGAAGGAAUCAAGGGUCAAGUCUUUAAAAUGGUUUGUGUGUUUAUUCCAGAAAAUUCAGCAGCUGCUUUUUCUGAAAAGCUGAACUUUGCUAUAGCAAUGCAGAAUACUUUAGAGCACAUUUUUCCCCUGAGAUUUCAAAACAGAUGUCCAGUCAUCAAAUCCUGCAGAAAUAUAAAGCUGGCAAGAAUGUUACAGAUAUUAUAACUUUUUACAAAGUUACAGAUUUGACUUGUUGUCAAAUCUAGUCACUUUCUGACUGGUCUUUGUCACUACAUAUCUUUGUUGCCACAGAUACUCACGCCUCUUUUAGUCAAACAAUUAGGUUUGGCACUGGCCCCUCUGACACAAGCUUGAUUUUUCUGUGCAUCUGAGGCUUUGCAUUUGGGAUUAUAUGGGUCCCACCAAACCAGGUAAUGGUAACUACAGGACAUUUUAGUUCAAAAGAAUUAAAUUUGUCUUUUUUAAGUGGAAGUAAAAAUUGCACAUGAAAUCUUGGAUUCAACAUGCUAUUUUGUUUAUGUAAAAAUAAAGAUGUUUCAUUUAUAAGAUUCAAAAAAAUUGCUUUUUAAUUUGCCACUGAAUGUUCUCCAGUAAAUUUUAGUGUGGCAUUGUCUGCAUUGGAUAGGUCACUGAAUGGUGCUUUUAUAAAAGUGUUUGAAAAGAAGAACUUGGUCCAUGGAAAUUGUUCAAAUAAUCUUGUUAGAAUGAAGCCUUGACUGAAGGCAGUAAUUUCAUGGAUUAAACCCAGAAGGGCUGGCUGGGCUGAUCUCCUUCCUAUCACAGGCCACAGAGCUUUGUGCAGAGACUGUCUAAGCAAAUGCUGGUUAGCUGCAAGACAUAGGGGAUUUUGCAUGGACAAAACAUUGAACAACACCAUGAAACUGGAAAAUGUGGAACUUUUUGAGGACAGGAUAAAUAGGAGUUGGAAGAAAGAGUAUUUUUACAGGCCAUUUAGUAAACACGGUGAGGUAGAGUUGCAUCUAACUAUGUUCAGCUUUCCCCUAAAAAGUUCCAAUUAAAAGUAAGGGAAACUGUUUUUUUCCCCAGUCUGUCCUUUUCUCUCACAUGCCACAUGUGGUCCAGAACUGAGCAACAUGAUGGCACAUCCAAGUAUGGGAAGGAAUUGCCUGGUUUGUACUUCUGGAAUUCCAAAAAGUGCAAAUUAUGAACAAAACUCCAGUGCUGUGAAACCUGAAGAGAAAUAGGGGUAGGAGAAUACAGUAUGCAUCUCUGUCUUACAGUUUGAUAUU
Molecule: long non-coding RNA, 1844 nt
Organism: Passer montanus (Eurasian tree sparrow)
Lineage: Eukaryota; Metazoa; Chordata; Aves; Passeriformes; Passeridae
Exons: 3
Source: RefSeq, a predicted model, not a curated record